This 453-nucleotide ribosomal RNA is filed under the name uncultured Campylobacterota bacterium. Its description in RNAcentral is "bacterial SSU rRNA". It matches the Rfam family "Bacterial small subunit ribosomal RNA", at positions 8 to 456 of the family's 1533-position model. Lineage: Bacteria; Pseudomonadati; Campylobacterota. The record is from RNAcentral.
AGAGUUUGAUCAUGGCUCAGAGUGAACGCUGGCGGCGUGCUUAACACAUGCAAGUCGAACGAGAACGGUCCUAGCUUGCUAGGAUGUCAGCUAAGUGGCGGACGGGUGAGUAAUGUAUAGUUAAUUUGCCCCUUAGAGAGGGAUAACAGUUAGAAAUGACUGCUAAUACCUCAUACUCCUUCUACCUUAAUGGUAGUUGGGAAAUGUUUUUUCGCUAAGGGAUGAGACUAUAUGGUAUCAGGUAGUUGGUAGGGUAAGAGCCUACCAAGCCUAUGACGCCUAGCUGGUCUGAGAGGAUGAUCAGCCACACUGGAACUGAGACACGGUCCAGACUCCUACGGGAGGCAGCAGUGGGGAAUAUUGCACAAUGGAGGAAACUCUGAUGCAGCAACGCCGCGUGGAGGAUGACACAUUUCGGUGCGUAAACUCCUUUUAUAUGGGAAGAUAAAGACG